AUUGAACGCUGGCGGCAGGCCUAACACAUGCAAGUCGAGCGCGAAAAUUCCUUCGGGGAUGAGUAGAGCGGCGGACGGGUGAGUAACGCGUAGGAAUCUGCCCGGUAGUGGGGGACAACAGUCGGAAACGACUUCUAAUACCGCAUACGCCCUAAGGGGGAAAGCAGGGGAUCUUCGGACCUUGCGCUAUCGGAUGAGCCUGCGUCGGAUUAGCUUGUUGGUGGGGUAAUGGCCUACCAAGGCGACGAUCCGUAGCUGGUCUGAGAGGAUGAUCAGCCACACUGGGACUGAGACACGGCCCAGACUCCUACGGGAGGCAGCAGUGGGGAAUAUUGGACAAUGGGGGAAACCCUGAUCCAGCCAUGCCGCGUGUGUGAAGAAGGCCUCGG
RNAcentral lists this ribosomal RNA (389 nucleotides) under uncultured bacterium. RNAcentral describes it as "bacterial SSU rRNA". It matches the Rfam family "Bacterial small subunit ribosomal RNA", at positions 30 to 420 of the family's 1533-position model. The record is from RNAcentral.